CCUACGGGUGGCAGCAGUGGGGAAGAGUGCACAAGGGGGGAAACCCUGAUGCAGCAACGCCGCGUGAGUGAAGAAGUAUUUCGGUAUGUAAAGCUCUAUCAGUAGGGAAGAAGAAAGACGGUACCUGACUAAGAAGCCCAGGCUAACUACGUGCCAGCAGCCGCGGUAAUACGUAGGGGGCAAGCGUUAUCCGGAUUUACUGGGUGUAAAGGGAGCGGAGACGGCUGUGUAAGUCGGAAGUGAAAGCCCGUGGCUCAACCGCGGAACUGCUUUUGAAACUGUAGAGCUUGAGUACUGGAGAGGCAGGCGGAAUUCCUAGUGUCGCGGUGAAAUGCGUAGAUAUUAGGAGGAACACCAGUGGCGAAGGCGGCCUGCUGGACAGCAACUGACGUUGAGGCUCUAACGCGUGGGGAGCAAACAGGAUUAGAUACCCCAGUAGUC
This 441-nucleotide ribosomal RNA is filed under the name uncultured bacterium. RNAcentral describes it as "partial 16S ribosomal RNA". It matches the Rfam family "Bacterial small subunit ribosomal RNA", at positions 338 to 795 of the family's 1533-position model. The record is from RNAcentral.